UUUGGACACCCAACCUCCCUCCACAUAGCCUCAGGUGAAGCUGACUGUAUCCCUCAGAGCCAGAGUUCCCAGUGGAGCAGCACCGAGAAAAGGUGAAGCGGGUAGUCCUCCAGACUGAGCAAAGGAACACUAAAUUUUCAGGUGCUACGCAAGGUGCAUAGCCCCCUAAAUCUGGGUGCUGACUCCAGACGCCCCUCAUUAAAGGCAAGCA
Long non-coding RNA from Hippopotamus amphibius kiboko, 211 nucleotides. RefSeq lists it as uncharacterized. The transcript is spliced from 3 exons. NCBI's taxonomy places the organism in Eukaryota, Metazoa, Chordata, Mammalia, Artiodactyla, Hippopotamidae. The record is from RefSeq and is a predicted model, not a curated record.